This 504-nucleotide ribosomal RNA is filed under the name uncultured bacterium. RNAcentral's name for it is "partial 16S ribosomal RNA". It matches the Rfam family "Bacterial small subunit ribosomal RNA", at positions 28 to 507 of the family's 1533-position model. The record is from RNAcentral.
GACGAACGCUGGCGGCGUGCUUAACACAUGCAAGUCGAACGGUGAAGCGCUUGCCUUUUUGGUGGGUGUGGAUGAGUGGCGAACGGGUGAGUAACACGUGAGUAACCUGCCCUCUUCUUCUGGAUAACCUCAUGAAAGUGGGGCUAAUACGGGGUAUUCCGGGUCUGUCGCAUGGCGGGUUUGGGAAAGAUUGCGCCUUUGGGUGUUUUCGGUGGGGGAUGGGCUCGCGGCCUAUCAGCUUGUUGGUGGGGUGAUGGCCUACCAAGGCGGUGACGGGUAGCCGGACUGAGAGGGUGGACGGCCACACUGGGACUGAGACACGGCCCAGACUCCUGCGGGAGGCAGCAGGGGGGAAUAUUGCGCAAUGGGCGCAAGCCUGAUGCAGCGACGCCGCGUGAGGGAUGGAGGCCUUCGGGUUGUGAACCUCUUUCGCCAGUGAAGCAGGCCUGCUCCUGUGUGGGUGGGUUGACGGUAGCUGGAUAAGAAGCGCCGGCUAACUACGUG